This 254-nucleotide ribosomal RNA is filed under the name uncultured bacterium. RNAcentral's name for it is "partial 16S ribosomal RNA". It matches the Rfam family "Bacterial small subunit ribosomal RNA", at positions 524 to 776 of the family's 1533-position model. The record is from RNAcentral.
CACGUAGGGUGCGAGCGUUGUCCGGAAUUAUUGGGCGUAAAGAGCUCGUAGGCGGUGUGUCGCGUCGGCCGUGAAAACUUGGGGCUUAACUCUGAGCGUGCGGUCGAUACGGGCAUCACUUGAGUUCGGCAGAGGAGACUGGAAUUCCUGGUGUAGCGGUGAAAUGCGCAGAUAUCAGGAGGAACACCGGUGGCGAAGGCGGGUCUCUGGGCCGAUACUGACGCUGAGGAGCGAAAGCAUGGGGAGCGAACAGG